Molecule: transfer RNA, 73 nt
Filed under: Enterococcus lacertideformus
Lineage: Bacteria; Bacillati; Bacillota; Bacilli; Lactobacillales; Enterococcaceae
Rfam family: tRNA
About the family: Transfer RNA (tRNA) molecules are approximately 80 nucleotides in length. Their secondary structure includes four short double-helical elements and three loops (D, anti-codon, and T loops).
Source: Rfam by way of RNAcentral
GGUCUGGUAGUUCAGUUGGUUAGAAUGCCUGCCUGUCACGCAGGAGGCGCGGGUUCGAGUCCCGUCCAGACCG